GAUGAACGCUGGCGGCGUGCCUAAUACAUGCAAGUCGAGCGAACUUUUGGGAGCUUGCUCCCAAAAGUUAGCGGCGGACGGGUGAGUAACACGUGGGUAACCUGCCUGUAAGACUGGGAUAACUUCGGGAAACCGGAGCUAAUACCGGAUAACAUUGAAGACCACAUGGUCUUCAAUUAAAAGGUGGCUUUUAGCUACCACUUACAGAUGGACCCGCGGCGCAUUAGCUAGUUGGUGAGGUAACGGCUCACCAAGGCGACGAUGCGUAGCCGACCUGAGAGGGUGAUCGGCCACACUGGGACUGAGACACGGCCCAGACUCCUACGGGAGGCAGCAGUAGGGAAUCUUCCGCAAUGGACGAAAGUCUGACGGAGCAACGCCGCGUGAGCGAAGAAGGCCUUCGGGUCGUAAAGCUCUGUUGUUAGGGAAGAACAAGUAUCGUUCGAAUAGGGCGGUACCUUGACGGUACCUAACCAGAAAGCCACGGCUAACUACGUG
RNAcentral lists this ribosomal RNA (498 nucleotides) under uncultured bacterium. RNAcentral's name for it is "partial 16S ribosomal RNA". It matches the Rfam family "Bacterial small subunit ribosomal RNA", at positions 28 to 507 of the family's 1533-position model. The record is from RNAcentral.